UCGGGAAUUUUGGGCAAUGGGCGAAAGCCUGACCCAGCAACGCCGCGUGAAGGAUGAAGUAUUUCGGUAUGUAAACUUCGAAAGAAUAGGAAGAAUAAAUGGCGGUACUAUUUAUAAGGUCCGGCUAACUACGUGCCAGCAGCCGCGGUAAUACGUAGGGACCAAGCGUUGUUCGGAUUUACUGGGCGUAAAGGGCGCGUAGGCGGCAAUUCAAGUCAUCUGUGAAAUCUCCGGGCUUAACUCGGAACGGUCAGAUGAUACUGCUUUGCUAGAGUGCAGAAGGGGCAAUCGGAAUUCUUGGUGUAGCGGUGAAAUGCGUAGAUAUCAAGAGGAACACCUGAGGUGAAGACGGGUUGCUGGGCUGACACUGACGCUGAGGCGCGAAAGCCAGGGGAGCAAACGGGAUUAGAUACCCAAGUAGUCCCUGAGCGGGCUGGCAAGGCGCAU
This 447-nucleotide ribosomal RNA is filed under the name uncultured bacterium. Its description in RNAcentral is "bacterial SSU rRNA". It matches the Rfam family "Bacterial small subunit ribosomal RNA", at positions 355 to 825 of the family's 1533-position model. The record is from RNAcentral.